This 84-nucleotide transfer RNA is filed under the name Cordylochernes scorpioides. RNAcentral's name for it is "tRNA-Tyr". The record is from RNAcentral. Lineage: Eukaryota; Metazoa; Arthropoda; Arachnida; Pseudoscorpiones; Chernetidae.
UCCCUUGAGCCGGAUUUGAACCGACCUAAGGAUCAUCGUUGUAACAUCUACAGGCCUCCGCUCUGCCAACUGAGCUAUCGAGGG